AUAAUAAUAAUAAUAAAAGAAACCGCCCACAAAAAUCUUGAAUCCCUUGCAGAAGUUGGGUUAAGGCUCAAGAUACUGGAUGCAAACCGCUGCCACGUUCUCCAUUUCAAAGGAAAGGUGUCAGCUCAGGCAGCGAUGUCAAAGGCUGCAAAGUUUGGGCUGCAAAAUCCCACUCCUACCGUUUGCCAUGCUGGCCACAAAGGAACAGAGAGCUGGAUUUGGCUCUGCAAGCUACUCUGCCUUUUCCUCAAGGGAUAUAUACCCCAAGAACUGAGUUGCUUCAUUGAUUCUGUGCAUGGGUAAGCAGCAGUGCCCAUGGGGAGGAGGGGAGAACAGGGAAGAGAAAGCUUUUUUCCCUGUAUUUUCUACCACUAACUGCUCAGUUUGGGUGAAAUAGGAGAGUCACAUCUUUUCCCAACUCUCUGAAGUGAGGGGAACUUUGCUGAGGCCCCAGCUUGAACCGGACCGUGCCCAGAUAUCAUCAGAUCCUGCACAAGAAAAAUAAAGAGCUCAAGUUGCAAAAGAAGAGCGAUGGAGGAGUGAAACUCGAGAGGAGCAUACAGUCCGCUGACAGCUCCCUGCAGCUCAAACCGACCCGUCAGGGCCACAGCAAAGCCUUGGAGCAGCAGCAUUGUGCUCCAGGAAAAUCAGCAUGGUGCAGCCAGGAGGGGAUCAUGCUCAUGCAGAACGAUCUCUGCAGUGGCACCAGAGGAAGAGAUCACACCAUUUGCAAAAGCAAUCUGUGCAGGUGUCCAUUGUCUAGUCUGGGAUUUCACAGGGAAUCUGGUGCCAGGAGCCAUUUGGAUGAUGCCAGACUGCUGAACACAUCCAGCUCAUCAGGUGUCCAAACUCAUCGCUCAAGUUGCCUUCAUUGGGUGUAAAGGACUCCCCACAUUUAAAGUUGGCCAGUUUUGUGGAUGGGAAAAUGCAG
This 931-nucleotide long non-coding RNA is filed under the name Gallus gallus (chicken). RNAcentral describes it as "lncRNA (ENSGALG00010027037.1)". Lineage: Eukaryota; Metazoa; Chordata; Aves; Galliformes; Phasianidae. The record is from RNAcentral.